UCUUAUCCUUGGUGCAGUCCAUGUCUCUGGUCAUGUCCUCUAGCACGAUUCUAUCUUAUUGUUUAUUUACCAGUUACUCCAGUAUUUAGUAUCUGUAUUGUAUAAUAUUGAUUCCGUCACCAGAUGGUCCACUAGAAUGGAAAACAAGUUGUGACGAUGGGAGAUGAUACGCGAUUGCAGUGUUUUCCUUAUCAUUUUAAUUAAUCCUAUCCCUUCCCCUCUUUCAGUGUUAAAGAUCUGGAUACGGUAGACAAUGGGUGCACUGACUACAUCUUUUCAACUUAGUAUGCAAACGAUUGGGAUGUUCAAAUAGCACACUAUCUCGGGGUGUUUACUGGCACCUAGUUGAGCUAAAGAGAACAUUGAUUAUCAAAAUAUCGGAGUUUCGAUUUUGGAGCCGUGAGAAAUUUUUCUCAUAUUCGAGAAUAAAGUGUUGUGUUGAGGUCUGAGACGAUCUGAUGUGAUAUCGGUUGAGAUGUCCGAAAAUUUUCCCAUAUUCCAGAUUAAUCGAAUAGAUUGAUCAAUACUACAAGCCAAACUUCACUAUAUGGUAAUUAAGUUUCUCGAAUUAUUUUUGAUCAAGUUAUUGUAUUUUAUGAAAGAUGAUUUGCUGUCACUUGGAUAUGAUGGAAUGGUGCGAUUAAAUAAAUUUGUACUCAGAGAUUUGGGUUGGUUAAAGAAAA
Daucus carota subsp. sativus is the source of this 683-nucleotide long non-coding RNA. RefSeq lists it as uncharacterized. The record is from RefSeq and is a predicted model, not a curated record. Lineage: Eukaryota; Viridiplantae; Streptophyta; Magnoliopsida; Apiales; Apiaceae. The transcript is spliced from 3 exons.